CGGGCGUUAGCGCAGUCUGGCCAGCGCAUCUGCUUUGGGAGCAGAGGGUCGGGGGUUCGAAUCCCUCACGCCCGA
This 75-nucleotide transfer RNA is filed under the name Candidatus Spyradosoma merdigallinarum. RNAcentral's name for it is "tRNA-Pro". It matches the Rfam family "tRNA". From Rfam's summary of the family: Transfer RNA (tRNA) molecules are approximately 80 nucleotides in length. Their secondary structure includes four short double-helical elements and three loops (D, anti-codon, and T loops). The record is from RNAcentral. Lineage: Bacteria; Pseudomonadati; Verrucomicrobiota; Opitutia.